AAUUUCUCCGGGGACAGAUUUGCAAAUCCGGGGACUGUCCCCGGGGACGUCUGGUAACCCUAGUCUAGAGCCCAUCUGCCUCCUCGCCACAAGACCACGAAGUUCAGAGUCUAAGAUUACGGCAUCAGUGCUUGUUGUCUUCGCAGAGAAGUCAACAAGUUCGUCUGGGCUUUGCAUCAACAGCGUCUUAUUUACAGCAGCCCUGGGGCUGUUGCAACGUGACCGCUUUGCUGUGUGCCCCCCCCUCUUUUCUUAUCUGGCUUCUCAGAUGAUUUAUUGCGGGUCCUACCUAAACACAGCCAAGGGCUUUGGGAUUGGCAGACAAGAUGUCUUGCCUCAGGGCUGGGGCCGGGGCAAACCGAAAGCAGACAGGCUCUCCUAUUGACACCAAGAAAGCAAGAGGCAGGUCAAAGAGAUGCAGCAACUUCGCAAGGAGGAAAGGUAGGGAGAGGUUAGUGACAGAUGAAAGAGGCUCUGACAAUCAAAAAAUACAGAUGGCUCAACUCCUUUCAGGAUAACCAACCAUUUGCAUUUGUAUUUUUCGCUCUAUAACACGCACCCAACCAUAACACGCACAUAGUUUUU
This is a non-coding RNA of Podarcis muralis (Common wall lizard), 585 nucleotides long. NCBI's taxonomy places the organism in Eukaryota, Metazoa, Chordata, Lepidosauria, Squamata, Lacertidae. The record is from RefSeq and is a predicted model, not a curated record.